RNAcentral lists this ribosomal RNA (253 nucleotides) under uncultured bacterium. RNAcentral's name for it is "partial 16S ribosomal RNA". It matches the Rfam family "Bacterial small subunit ribosomal RNA", at positions 524 to 776 of the family's 1533-position model. The record is from RNAcentral.
UACGUAGGUGGCAAGCGUUAUCCGGAUUUAUUGGGCGUAAAGGGAACGCAGGCGGUCUUUUAAGUCUGAUGUGAAAGCCUUCGGCUUAACCGGAGUAGUGCAUUGGAAACUGGGAGACUUGAGUGCAGAAGAGGAGAGUGGAACUCCAUGUGUAGCGGUGAAAUGCGUAGAUAUAUGGAGGAACACCAGUGGCGAAGGCGGCUUACUGGACUGUAACUGACGUUGAGGCUCGAAAGCGUGGGGAGCAAACAGG